RNAcentral lists this long non-coding RNA (2805 nucleotides) under Canis lupus familiaris (dog). RNAcentral describes it as "lncRNA (ENSCAFG00030017205.1)". The record is from RNAcentral. Lineage: Eukaryota; Metazoa; Chordata; Mammalia; Carnivora; Canidae.
GGCAGAUAACAGGGCCAUGAUUACAAAAUCAAUAAAUGGUCUCGAUGCUCUCAAUGCAGAAGAAAUGAAUAGAGACGGAGCCUGGCCAUCUGGAGGGACAGAGCUUUCUGCCUCGCCCCGUGGGGCCCCUGGGCUGUGCCCGCCCUGGCCCGGGUUUGAAGCCAGUAAUCACAUCAGAUGGCACCGCCAGUUCUCAGAGGCCUGGCAGCCGACUCUGUGCUCUGUGCCAGGUGGGGAGCACCCCUGGGCCCAGAGGAUCUGUCACUUUGCCCCUGGGCUGGCCUGGGCAGUGGGACUGCGGCCUUCUGCCCCGGGCACCCUCCACUGUCUGAGAGGGAGGGUCUAGGCUGGGAGACGAGGCUCCUCGGGGGCUGCCCCCCCACCGGCUCUGCACCCCCAUGGUCCGCGGCCAUCAGCCCACGGGGAUGGAGGACGGGGCCCCGGGACACGUGUUCCCGUGAGCCCCCGGGGAGGCCAGUGUGUCCAGUGCCCACCCUGGCUCCCUCUGGCUCUACCAAGUGCAGCUGAGAGGGACGGCCUUGACCCCAGCUCAGCCCUCCGUCUGCCCUCAGGCGCCCUGACCAAACAGGAUAGCUCCAAACUGGCAGAGGAAAGUAAAAGGGAAGCCAGCCCCUCCCUUGGCAGAAGGGCCGGCCCUGGAGCCUCUUUGUACUCCGGCUUUCCUCCGUGUUGUGGAUGUGCACGCACACGCUCACCAAGCCCAGCACCAGGCUCCCAGCGGACAGGGCCCUCCCGCAGCCCGGCCGAAGGACGCUCAGGCGCCCGGCUCCCCCAUGGAACCCUCUGGCGUGACCCCCUGUGCUCGCAGCCCCCCACCCCACCCCUGGGCACUCAGGUGGGUGGCAACCUUCUGACUUUCCGGCUCCCUUUGCAGCGAUUGCUCCUGGAGAACAUGUUCAGCCCCAACAUCCGCCCCAGGAGGUCAUGCCCCCCGUGACACCCCCCGCCGCGGCCAUGGGGACUCAGGACUGCUCACCCCAAUCUGGAAGAUCCUGCCAAGGCUCUUGCCUGUACUUUGUAACAGAAAAGCAGCGGGCUGGAGUCGCGCUUCUUAUCCAGACGCAAAACCACACGGGCAGGCAUGACCGCCCGCGAGGAGGAGGGAAACAGAGGGACCGCUCUUGCACGACGUGGACGCGUGACCAGGAAGCACAAGAAGGCCUGUCCAGGAGGCUCUACCCCAUGUCCAUCACUUGGGCAAAACACAAAAGUUCUGUGCGUGGGGUCCCGGGGAGGACUCGGAAUGCAGGUGCUCCCAGCUAUACGGUGGCGUGUUCGGGGUGUGCGCCAAGCGGCUGCGUGGAGGGCACAUGGAGGGCACCAGGGCUCCUAAUAAAGCCCAGGGCAGGCCCCUCGUGCCUGAGAUUCACUCCGAUCCUGUGGGCUCCCCAGCGUGCAUGGGCACUAGGAGGGCCGGGCCCCGGGGGACCCUGGGUUUCCACAGAUAUGCAUGUGUGUGUGUGUGUGCACACACGUGUGUGCAUGUGCCCAAAGAGCAACCUGUAGCUUCUGUAAUUAAAAUGAAAAACAAUGAUACAGAUACAGUAGAAAUAAAACCCUCCUAAAAAAAAAAAAAAAAAAAAAAAAACCCUCCUGCUCCGUUGGUGGGAAUGUGGCUGCAGUGGCUGCUCUGGACCUUGGCAGGGGGGAGGUCAGAAAAUCAAACACAGAGCUACCCUGUGACCCAGUAAUCCCACCAAGAGCAGGGCCUGGAGUGGAAGCUCCACACCCACGUUCACAGCAGCCGAUACAUGGGAGCCACUCAAGGGUCCAUCAACAGACAAGGGGAUAAACGUGGGCCAUCCACACGCUGGACAGUCACUCAGCCUGAACAAGGAGGGACAUGCUGACACCUGCCACAGCGUAGGUGGACCUGGGGGACGUGAUGCUGAGUGACACGGGCCAGACACCAGGGGACACAUCCUGCAGGAUUCCUACCCACACAAGGGCCCUAGAGUCUCCAGAUUCACAGGGAGAGAGAGUGGACGGUGGUCACAGGGGGAGGGAUGGGAUCAGUGUCUCAGGGAGACAGAGCCUCUGUUGGGACGAUGGACAGUCCUGGAGACAGACCGUGGGGACGGCUGCACAACAGUGUGAAUGUGCUUAGUGCCCCUGAACCGUGGCUUAGAGGUGGUUAAAUGGUAAUUUUUAUGUUACGUGUAUUUUACCAUGAUUUAAACAAAUAAAUAAUUAUUUUUUCAAAAGCAAUAAUACAAAGAACGGUUGGACUGGAGAACAGCUGUGGGUAGACUGGGGUCACUGCACACAUCCUGAGGGGCCUCUGGAGCACCCCUCCCUAGUGAAUGGGGGUUUGGGGCGUUGAGGAGAGUGGUCAGAGCAGGUGUGAGGCCUGCAGGCAGCCACUGGGGUUUGCGCUGGAGGGGUCAGGAUGGUGGGCCCAGGAGUCACCAGGCUGUUGUGGGGACCCCAGCACUCCACGUUGUCACUUGCUGCCCGUUGCCCCCCAAUCUCUCUUUUCAUCUAUGUGACAGACACCUGGGCGUACUGUGCAGGGGCUGGGGGGACACAGAGACCAGCAUGCAGACCCUCUCCAACUGAGACCCUGAUGGCAGGGACCCUGUCGUUUUCAGAGAGCCCCCAGGAAGUGCUUGUUGGGUGACCAGUGACCACACAGGUGAAUGCCUGUAGCCCCUCCCCCACCCUGUGCGCCCCUUCUGGGAGCCAGAGCCUCAGCUUUGGUGGCACCAUAAGACCUCCCCUGGGGUGGAAGCCGAACCCCUGUGGCAUCCACUGGAGAACCUGAGCAUGCUCCCUGUCUGGCCC